This 192-nucleotide non-coding RNA is filed under the name Myotis brandtii (Brandt's bat). Its description in RNAcentral is "Connexin-43 internal ribosome entry site (IRES)". It matches the Rfam family "Connexin-43 internal ribosome entry site (IRES)". From Rfam's summary of the family: This family represents the connexin-43 internal ribosome entry site (IRES) which allows cap independent translation during conditions such as heat shock and stress. The record is from Rfam by way of RNAcentral. Lineage: Eukaryota; Metazoa; Chordata; Mammalia; Chiroptera; Vespertilionidae.
AGCUUUUAUCAGGUAUCAGCAAUUGUCUUUCAUUAGGGGGAAGAAUGAAGAAGAAUACUAAAAAUAGCAUACUUAUAAACUGAGACAGUUUUGAGUGCUUGAACUUUUUCAUUUUUCUUCAACCUCUUAGGAGGGCAGUCACUGGCGUGCCUACUUUACUUCUUUUAAGUGAUAGAACAGCAAACAGGCAAC